GUACUGCUGAAAAGUCCCGAACUAGGACGAAACAGCUGUCCAGUAC
Molecule: non-coding RNA, 46 nt
Filed under: Trichobilharzia regenti
Lineage: Eukaryota; Metazoa; Platyhelminthes; Trematoda; Strigeidida; Schistosomatidae
Source: RNAcentral